GAUUUGUUAGUUUAAUUUAAAACGUAAUUUUUCUAUAAUUAAGAUCUUUUUUUGACUGUUCG
This 62-nucleotide transfer RNA is filed under the name Rhopalaea idoneta. RNAcentral's name for it is "transfer RNA-Gly(AGR)". Lineage: Eukaryota; Metazoa; Chordata; Ascidiacea; Aplousobranchia; Diazonidae. The record is from RNAcentral.